This 459-nucleotide ribosomal RNA is filed under the name uncultured bacterium. Its description in RNAcentral is "partial 16S ribosomal RNA". It matches the Rfam family "Bacterial small subunit ribosomal RNA", at positions 338 to 795 of the family's 1533-position model. The record is from RNAcentral.
CCUACGGGAGACAGCAGUGGGGAAUAUUGGGCAAUGGGCGGGAGCCUGAACCAGCGAAGCCGCGUGAGGGAAGAAGGUACAGCGUAUCGUAAACCUCUUUUGUCAGGGAACACAGGCGGGGACUAGUCCCCGGAUGAGGGUACCUGAAGAAAAAGCAUCGGCUAACUCCGUGCCACCAGCCGCGGUAAUACGGGGGGUGCGAGCGUUAUCCGGAUUUGUUGGGGUGAGGGGGUGCGCGGGCGGCCUGUUAAGUCAGCGGUAAAAUCCCGGGGCUCAACCCCGGAGAGCCGUUGAAACUGGCGGGCUGGAGUGGGAGAGAAGUACGUGGAAUGCGCGGUGUAGCGGUGAAAUGCUUAGAUAUCGGGCAGAACCUCGAUGGCGAAGGCAGCGUACCGGCUCCACACUGACGCUGAGGCACGAAAGCGUGGGUAUCGAACAGGAUUAGAUACCCUAGUAGUC